Molecule: ribosomal RNA, 407 nt
Filed under: uncultured bacterium
Lineage: Bacteria
Description: partial 16S ribosomal RNA
Rfam family: Bacterial small subunit ribosomal RNA
Source: RNAcentral
AUUGAACGCUGGCGGCAGGCCUAACACAUGCAAGUCGAGCGGAGCGGCGGACGGGUGAGUAAGGCCUAUGAAUCUGCAUGGUAGUGGGGGAUAACGUCCGGAAACGGGCGCUAAUACCGCAUACUAUCAGCAGAGCCUAGGUGGGAUUGGAUAGUGGGUGGGGUAAAGGCCUACCAAGGCGACGAUCCGUAACUCGUCGUGGAGGAUGAUCAGCCACACUGGAACUGAGACACGGUCCAGACUCCUACGGGAGGCAGCAGUGGGGAAUAUUGGACAAUGGGCGAAAGCCUGAUGCAGCCAUGUCGCGUGUGUGAAGAAGGUCUUCGGAUUGUAAAGCACUUUAAGUUGGGAGGCGUUACCAACAGAAUAAGCACCGGCUAACUCCGUGCCAGCAGCCGCGGUAAUAC